UACGUAGGUGGCAAGCGUUGUCCGGAGUUACUGGGCGUAAAGGGCGUGUAGGCGGCCUUUUAAGUCAGACGUGAAAUGCCAAGGCUUAACCUUGGAGCUGCGUUUGAAACUGGAGGGCUUGAGGACCGGAGAGGGUAGUGGAAUUCCCAGUGUAGCGGUGAAAUGCGUAGAUAUUGGGAGGAACACCAGUGGCGAAGGCGACUGCCUGGACGGCACCUGACGCUGAGGCGCGAAAGCUAGGGGAG
This 245-nucleotide ribosomal RNA is filed under the name uncultured bacterium. Its description in RNAcentral is "partial 16S ribosomal RNA". It matches the Rfam family "Bacterial small subunit ribosomal RNA", at positions 524 to 768 of the family's 1533-position model. The record is from RNAcentral.